Non-coding RNA from Triticum aestivum (bread wheat), 135 nucleotides. The record is from Rfam. Lineage: Eukaryota; Viridiplantae; Streptophyta; Magnoliopsida; Poales; Poaceae.
AAAGUACUCCCUCCGUACCAAAAUUCUUGUCUUAGAUUUGUCUAGAUACGGAUGUAUCAAGUCACAUUUUAGUAUUAGAUACAUCCGUAUCUAGACAAAUCUAAGACAAGAAAUUUGGGACAGAGGGAGUAGUUG